AAGUCGUAACAAGGUUUCCGUAGGUGAACCUGCGGAAGGAUCAUUAACGAGUUAGGGUCUUCCAAGGCCCGACCUCCCAACCCUAUGUUUAUUGUACCAUGUGUUGCUUCGGCGGGACCGUCUUCACGACCGCCGGAGGGCCGUAAAACGUCCUCUGGCCCGCGCCCGCCGAUGGCCCCCCAUCAGAAAACUCUUGAAUAAUCAUGCCUAUAUUGUCUGAGUAAUACACAAAAAUUAAAAGCAAAACUUUCAACAACGGAUCUCUUGGUUCUG
This 273-nucleotide unclassified non-coding RNA is filed under the name air metagenome. RNAcentral's name for it is "partial contains small subunit ribosomal RNA, internal transcribed spacer 1, and 5.8S ribosomal RNA". The stretch from base 1 to 46 matches the Rfam family "Eukaryotic small subunit ribosomal RNA", at positions 1786 to 1831 of the family's 1831-position model. The record is from RNAcentral.